AGACGAACCGUCCAAACGUUAUUCGGAAUCACUGGGCUUAAAGGGUGCGUAGGCGGCGCGGAAAGUUGGGUGUGAAAUCCCUCGGCUCAACCGAGGAACUGCGCCCAAAACUGCCGUGCUCGAGGGAGAUAGAGGUGAGCGGAACUUAGGGUGGAGCGGUGAAAUGCGUUGAUAUCCUAAGGAACACCGGUGGCGAAAGCGGCUCACUGGAUCUCUUCUGACGCUGAGGCACGAAAGCUAGGGUAGCGAACGGGAUUAGAUACCCCGGUAGUCCUAGCCGUAAACGAUGAGCACUGGAUUGGAGGGUCCUCCAUAGCCUUCCAGUCGCAACGAAAGCGUUAAGUGCUCCGCCUGGGGAGUAUGGUCGCAAGGCUGAA
RNAcentral lists this ribosomal RNA (377 nucleotides) under uncultured bacterium. RNAcentral's name for it is "bacterial SSU rRNA". It matches the Rfam family "Bacterial small subunit ribosomal RNA", at positions 523 to 898 of the family's 1533-position model. The record is from RNAcentral.